This 253-nucleotide ribosomal RNA is filed under the name uncultured bacterium. RNAcentral's name for it is "partial 16S ribosomal RNA". It matches the Rfam family "Bacterial small subunit ribosomal RNA", at positions 524 to 776 of the family's 1533-position model. The record is from RNAcentral.
UACGUAGGGGGCAAGCGUUAUCCGGAUUUACUGGGUGUAAAGGGAGCGUAGACGGCCAGACAAGUCUGAAGUGAAAAUCCAGCGCUUAACGUUGGAAGUGCUUUGGAGACUGCCGGGCUAGAGUGCAGGAGGGGCAGGCGGAAUUCCUAGUGUAGCGGUGAAAUGCGUAGAUAUUAGGAGGAACACCAGUGGCGAAGGCGGCCUGCUGGACUGCAACUGAUGUUGAGGCUCGAAGGCGUGGGGAGCAAACAGG